UAGAAAAUUUCACAGUUAUUGGCGAGCAGUGAUGGAGUGUAAAUCGUUUUGAAGUGGAUUUGAAAAGCACACAUUUCAUUGUGCAGCAUUAUAGCAGAUCUGAGCUGAGUCAUUAAAGUUCAAGGCUGAACUAAAGUCAUCGAAGCAUCUUCCGAAUACUUCGACAAUGUGAAAACUGAGAGUUGACACCAUAUUCUGGUUGAGAAUAGCCAGCGAGCCUGGACUGGGCAUGCCCGAGUUCUGGGAGCCUGGUAUGGGGUGAUGCGCACGCACAACUGAUGUGUGGAAAAUUAGCUCAGAUGUUGCUCAAUCGUUCGUUUUUUGCCGAUAAUGACGUAUGACGUGAAUACAGUCAGUAAAAGUGAGGUAUUCGAUACAACAACAGUGGGUGAGCUAAAACAAUGAAAUCAAAAAUUCUACACAAAUUGCUGUGGUUGGUGUUACUUCGGAUCUAUCCGGAAUGUGAAAGUGGAGGAAGCGACGGUAUGAGCUCAUUGAUGUGCUAUAGAUUUCGUUAGUCUGGUCUGUUGUAUAAAUAAUGCAAGCUACACUAAGCUGACGUCGUGGAAAAACUAGCAGCAAAGUAUUUGCAUCUGUGACAUCUGUAGUAAGCCAUACUCGUCUAUUAACCACGGCAGUCAACCAAUGCAGAACACGAUGAUUAUAAAAAAAAAAACGCAUGUGGAAUUUUACGGGGAUUAUAAUAGCUAACAACCGACGUGUGGUUGCGAAUGGUAUUUUCCAAAUAUUUUCGUAGCAAACAACCUUUAAUUUUUCAGCUAUACCAAACAGUUGAACGUGCCUGUUGGUAUUAAAAAAACAAAAAGGAAGUGAUUUCAAAUGUGAUGAGGCAGACGGGCCAAAGAGAUUUUAGAGAGAGUCUGUCCAGAAGUCUUAAAAAAUGAUUGUUCUGAGAAAUCGGGUCGUAUAUAUUGAGAAAGAUUGACGUAAGCCAAAUGGAUUUCCUUUUCCGAUAUUUACCGUUACAGAGUCUGCCGUAAUUCUUUCCUUCUGUCCUUAAUUAUGAAGAUAAUACUCCUAGCGCUGGUUAAAGAGAUGUCUUGCGUGUCUAUCGUUUCGUUUCUUUUUUGUUUUUGUCGUUCUUGGUUUUUGUUUUUUCUCUUUACGAUUUUGUUACAGCGAUACGACGCAGUUGAUCAGUUCCUGUGUGUAUCGAUUGGCCAUUAAUUUCAUCAUACUAAUGUCUACAAACACCGCAAUUCCAAGAGUUUGGUAUCUGAAUAUUUCUGGCAAAUAGCAUUGGGACUGUUCGUUCAAGUCUGAUAGACGAUCGUUGUUGACCAUCUCUAAGCAGAGUAAAGUUAUAAAACUGCAAGAACAGAUGGGAUUGAGUAUUAAAACAUAGAAAACAUAUAGUUGUUUCUCAUUUAGAGGAAAAUGAGCAAACUAGACAAUUUUCUUUCCGUUUUGCAGCGAUACAUUGCAGUUAAUACACCUGUGAUUAUCCUGACGGUAAAGAUUGCAGUGACGUGGACAGUUAGAACCGCUACAAACGUUAAAGGCGACGAAGUGGUGAGGUUAGGUCCAACCUAUCUUAAACUAAUUUAUACCAUUACAGCAUCAAGAAAGGGAAUCCAAUACAUAAUCAGCCACAAAUUCUAGAUCUGCAAAGAAAACGCAUCGAAGUAGUAUCAACGAGUACUUUUGCUUAGACUUUUUUUUUUUAGCGAUGCGACACAGUUGAACGUUCCUGUGCGUAUCUGAAUGCAUCUGUUAACAACGUGAAGUUUUACUAAAUUGCGCAGCAACUACCAGCGGAAUAUUAGAAAAUAUUGAGAGCAACGCUGUUUCGAUCUUAUUCGAUUGUAAGGCCAAUUGAUAUUUUCUCUUAACUAAUGCCUAAUUUAUAGGAAGACAUGUCACAAUUGAUCGUGCCUGAGUAAACAUAAAAAUUACCGGAAAGACGCAAUAAGUUCAGGAAGUUAUGGCGUAUUUACCAUCGACACCUUUUAACACAUUGGGAACAACCAACUUUGUUUCUACCCUUUACGAUUGUAAGGCGAUAUGAAAAUUUCCUUUCACUAAUUGGGUAAUUUAUAGGAAGCGAUGCGACAGAGUUGAACAUUGCCCGCAUUUAAAUUCAUCUUAAAAAUGGCGAGGUUUAGAAAGUGUCCCAUACUUUCCAUCAACACCAUAAACACAAUGAGAGCAUCUCUACAUUUUUUUCGAUAACAUACCAUUGUAAGGCCAAAUACAAUUUUCUUUUGACUAAUGCAUAAUUUGUAGAUGUAAAUAUCGUCGACUUUGAGCACAAAUCUAGCCGCAAGGGCGUAACUUAAAGUAUACCAUUGGGAGACCUGACGUAUCUAUCGAUAAGCUUGCAAAAACAACAAAGAAUGCAACAAAAUGUAUAAAAAUGGCAAAAGGGAAUCGUGCCAAAAUAAUACCAGAUGAGCAGUUUUUAUCGGAGGUUAGGUAGAUUGUAAUACCUAUGGUCACAAUAUUUUUCAGUUAUUUCAACGGAAAAAUUGAAGCAAAGACCAGAAAUUGUAGCCCCUACUACCUAGGCGAUUUCGGUUCGAAUGGACAACUGAUGCAGUGUGCUUUUUAUAAAUCUCAAGUACCAUCUGUUAAAUAUAUAUUUCUAUCGUUUAUAUCUUGAAUUGUAUUGUGAACAAUCCAAAAGAGAAGCAGUUUUCCAUAUUUUGCAGCGGUACAACGUAGUUGAUCGGUGCCUACGUGUACCUAACUGUUAGCAGCUUUAAGGUCCUUAAAUUCUCGAUUGGUAUUUGUGCUCCAAAGAAGCCUUGUAUUUUAAACGCCACGUAAACAAGAUAUGCCAACAAAGAGUAAGGUAUCAUUCCUUAUGUGAAAUUAAUCAAUUUCUUGUAGAAUUCAAAGUUCAUCCACAAGUGGUUUAUGUGUGACGGAUCACUAAGCAAUUAUUGUGCGUAGGAUACACAAUUGCAACAGUACAUAAGAUAAAAGAUAUAAUUUUUUCUCAACCUGGAAUGUAAACUUGCAAAAAUCAAUUCUGAAAUUUGAGAUUUCGAAGACACAGUUAUAUUUCCGAACUUUUUUCCAGAAAUUUUACCGAGCUGCAACUCGGCAUUUAAACGGUUUUACUUUUUUGGCAAUAAGGGAAUCAUGCCAACAACAGGUGCGAGCAGCAAAAUACUUAAUCUCUGCGGCGGCGGCCAUACUUCUAUUAAGGGAAGAGGUUAGGAAUACAUCUUUGUGCAACGAAAGCAAGCGGUAUUCAUAAUUUUACCAUUUUAAAUACGAAUUGACCAUCGAGUUUGGAGAAUCUGCAAUUUUGAAAAUUUUUCUUGAUAAUUAUUUUUUUUUCUCGAAAACGUACGAUUUUUUCAUUAUAAUUUAUAGCGAUAUAUCGCAGUUGAUCGGUGCCUGCGAAUAUCACAUCUGUGAACUGGCUAUAGGGAAUCAAGCCAUACGACACUCGGUUACAACGCACCCUUCGCGAACUCGCAUCGACGAAUAAAUUUAUUAUGAGUAACGGAAGAUGACCAAAGUGAGAAUUCAACUAUAACCUGAGUUCAAGCAGUUGUUAUUUAUUCUACUUUGCCUGGUAAAAUUUAACCCCUCAGUUUGAGAAAAAAUGUCCACAUAACUUUACAAUUUUACUUUCCUCGAGCAAAAAUGCGCACAAAACCAUCGAAAAAAUAGUUUAUUUAUUACAGCGAUAUGAUGCAGUUGAACUGUGCCUGUACAUAUCUUCUAUGUGAAGUCUCAAAUUGGUAGAGUCCCAACAAACCUGACCUGAUCUAAAACCAUCAAAGAGCACACAGUGGAAAUUUGGGAAACUGAAGGUGCUUUGUAUAUGAAGCUUUCCACUUAAAAUUUUAUUUACAGUUUCACGAUAUUUGCCCAUUUUAUUGAAAUCUGCAAGGGAAUUUAUGAUUAGCGGCGCAGAUAUCUGCAUCAUAAGUAUGGAGCGUAGCAACACCCCACACUUAGAAAUAGAUUUAACGAACUUGCCGAAAGCUCUCACUCGUCUAUAACCCAAUUAAGGAACCUGAUCGCAGUCUCGAGUCUCUUCAAAUAUGAGGUCAUUACAUGAAAUAUGUCAAUACAUUUAAAUAGUCUAUUUGCAGUAUAAAUAUUGUGAUGCGGUUGAAUGUAAUUGUAUGGGAUUGCAUCUUUGCCACGAAGAUCAAGCGAAAGAUAUUUCUGGCGGCAUUGCACGCAUCCAGAUGAUCGUUAAAGGGAAUCGAACGAUACAACUAGAAGUGGCCGUCCAUAUAAAUAUCUCGUUAACUCCAAUAACGCCUGCAUCAGUUUUGUUUUAAUUGUGCGUCUUUCAUCUAGUAACUUGCGUUUGUGCGGUUAGUCACAUUUUCACUGCAUCGUUGGUUCUCUACUUUGUUCGUUUAUGUGCGAAUCCGUACGAGUCGCCGCUCUGCCUGCCCCCUGGUAUUGAGCAAUGGCACGGAGAGCUCUGAAGAAUCUGGCCCUGAGUUGGGCGAAGAAAUGUUUCGAAAGGGAAUCAAAGAAACACGCGUAAGACUUGUUACGGUUCGUUCUAUUAGCAUAAACUUGUAUAUUUACAGGUCAUCUGUGACUAACAAGUCAUAAAAUUGACUUUUCUGCAUGUAACUCCAUCUAAUGGUGUUCGAGAUGUCUUAAUGAACAGGUUAAAUAGGCGAACAAUGGCCACAGCUUAUCUUGUUAACAUAUUAAAUAUGUGCUACUACCUAUUCUUGCAUAUUAAUGUACUAUAUGUUGAAAAUUUUAUUAGCCAAAUUUUUGAAAUCGUUAUAAAAACGAAUAGUCUGUUAAAAUAACUUCUGUCAAUACACCGUAAAGAGAAUUGUUGCCAAAGUCAAUCAAGUUCAAAAUUUUAGUUCAAAUAGAUAAAUGUAACCGAAUUAAUUAUAUUCCUAAGAGGAAAAGAAAUAAUAUGAAGAACAAUUGUGCAUAAACUACUAAAUGGAGAAAAUGUAAAUGCUAAUCAAUUUAAAAAAAAAAAGAUUGAAGUUCCAUCCUCUGUUGACAGAAAAUGCUCACAUAUUGCGACAAUUCGUAUUGAUGUGAAAUAUGGCAAUUUCUUUGCAUUGUAAUAUUAAAAUAUUUAAUUUGAUUUGUAAAUUCAUUCCAUAUGCAACUUUCAAUAUUCUUACCUUGUAAUUUGACAUGUAAAAUUCCCAAGAAAAUGUAAUUUGUUAGAUGGUUUAACUGAUUUGCGUAGCACACGACACAAACCAGUAAGAACUCUUUCCAUGUAAAAUUUAAAAUCAUGUUAUUUGAUAUGUAUGAUACUUUAGAACAUAUAAUCCUUUGAUAUACUAACUGACUUGGCAUAAGGCACAUACUGUCCACAUGCUGUUACAAAAUCAAGCGUUCGUUGGUGACCAGUGAGUGAAAGAUGGCAUUUAGUCUUACAAUCAGUCUUGCCGUGUGAUGCAGCGCAGUAUCAUUUUGGGAGCAGAGGGAUUUGCGUCUGAUCAAAUUGGGUGAUUCUAACUACACAACUUACAUUCAGAGCAAGAGCGAAAAAACAGGAGAGAGGGAGAUCAAGAUAAGCAUAGUUUCAUAUAGGGAAAACAUCAAAAUCGACUGUUCGAUUCCGGAAAUUGACUUAAUUUUAAAGAUACUACGCGAAAGAUCCUAUUCUUUAAAAUCAUUUGGCCGUACCAACUAUGACGCAUGGCAUGUGCUCUAAGUGCUUUAUAAAGUCCUACAUUCGAAUUCCAUCCUUAAAAAUACAUGAGCGGUACACGCAUCUUUUGCAAAUCAGCAGAGCUUCAGGCAGUGGGUUCUACGUUGCCGGAAGGGCCCGGAUUCAUAUCAGGGCAAGGACUUUCACUCCAGCAGCAUUUCCCAAACAUUUAUAGGGAGUGCUUAUGCUGUUACAACAACAACCACCACAGUCUCGUCCGACAUCGUUCGUAUUGGUCGGAUGUUCACAUGUAUAUCCAUCUAGCGUCCUAUGGCUACUUCACUGCAAGCAUGCAAGCACGCACGCAUAUUUACGACAAUACCACCGUUUUUUUUUAAUCCGGCCGGAGUCUAAACCAAUAGUACAGCAACCAGAAAUUCUGCCUUCACCUUGUGGGGAUACUUGUAUCUACGAUGAUGUUGAAUCGAUUAAAUUACAUUCUAAUUCCUGAUAAGCCAUUCUCGUCCAUUUUCAAGACGUAUACUUCGUAUUCUGUCGUUUAUACAUCGUCCGGAUUGUAUAACUGCGUCGAGUCACAAUGCGAGUAAUUUCUUGGAAAGAUUUUGGCUUCACGAGUGGUGGUCAAUUGUGUGCUGAGCUGUGCGUUCUCUUGCAAAGGCAGGGGCUGCGGUGGCGGCGGCAUGUAUUGCUUUGCAGAAAGUAUGAGGACAAACUAUCGAUUUGCUUGUUCAACCAAUCAUCUUUGUUUAUUACUACUGGGAAAUCCUUAAUCCUGAUAAUCACUACACGAAAGUAUGGGGCUUUUGUAUGUUUGGUGCUCAUCUUCAUCAUUCCUUAAUCCAUCACUUUGAUUUGGAGAGACAGAGAGAAGGCAAUCCCUGCAACCCUAUAAAUCUUCUAAGUAACUUGUUCUGGGACGUCAGUUCUGUUUCAUUUGCUCCGAGGAAAUCGUCUUUAAUGGGAAGGCAGAAAUUUAAUUAGUAAACUUAAAACAUCGAUAAUCUACAAGCAUUGACCGCGGCGAGGGAUAUGAAGUAUUGACGGCAGCGUGGGAUACCAAGUUUUGACGGCAGCGCGGGAUACCAAGUAUUGACGGCGGCGUGGGAUACCAAAUUUUGACGGCAGCGCGGGAUACCAAGUAUUGACGGCAGCGCGGGAUACUAAGUGUUGACAGCAGCGUGGGAGCUACCAGCAGUUCAUCGUGGGGUUGUAAAUUUUAUUUCUUCGAGGGAUUAGUGUAGACUGCGGCGUGGGAAGCUAUGUUGAGACGGCGGCGUGGGAUACCAAGUAUUGACUGCGGCGUGGGAUACCAAGUAUUGACGGCUGCGUGGGAUCCAAAUAUUGACGGCGGCGAGGGAUGCUAAGAGUUGACGGCUGCGUGGGAUACCUUUCUGGGACGGCGGCGUGGGAAGCCUCUUCGAUGGAUUUAUCAACAGCUUAUUUUAUUGUGUUUGUACUGCCUACUGUCUCGUAUCCCAUUUUUUCCGUUAUCCUUUACGAUGCAAAUUUGUUAUAUAGGGCAAUAUCUGAGUGAAUCGACGCUUUUUUGUUUUACUUAUCAUUGCCCAACAUUUAUCUUGUUAAGAAAGCAGAUAAGGUUCAAGCAGUCUUGUUUUCAAACUAAGAUCCCUUAAAAUCUGCGAUUACUUGUAAAAAUGAGUCAUUAAAAUGGGGACAAAUAUAAUAACCACGAAGCAAAUUGUGUAGAAUUUGUAGGCAGGGUUUUUAAACUUGAAUUUGUAUUUUAUUUAAAUAAAUGUAUAAUGUUUUUUGAAAAAAGUAUACAAAGCGCUUUAAAUAAUUUGUGGAAUAAAUUGGAUUUAACGUAGAAGAAA
Anastrepha obliqua is the source of this 7437-nucleotide long non-coding RNA. RefSeq lists it as uncharacterized. The record is from RefSeq and is a predicted model, not a curated record. Lineage: Eukaryota; Metazoa; Arthropoda; Insecta; Diptera; Tephritidae. The transcript is spliced from 3 exons.